UAGGGAAUAUUGCGCAAUGGGCGAAAGCCUGACGCAGCAACGCCGCGUGAGUGAUGAAGGCCUUCGGGUCGUAAAGCUCUGUCGGAGGGAACGAAUGCUCUUGAGGUUAACAGCCUCGGGAGGUGACGGUACCCUCAAAGGAAGCACCGGCUAACUCUGUGCCAGCAGCCGCGGUAAUACAGAGGGUGCAAGCGUUGUUCGGAAUCAUUGGGCGUAAAGGGCGCGUAGGCGGUUUGUCAAGUCAGUUGUGAAAUCUCCGAGCUUAACUCGGAACGGUCAACUGAUACUGUCAAACUAGAGUACAGAAGGGGCAAUCGGAAUUCUUGGUGUAGCGGUGAAAUGCGUAGAUAUCAAGAGGAACACCUGAGGUGAAGACGGGUUGCUGGGCUGACACUGACGCUGAGGCGCGAAAGCCAGGGGAGCAAACGGGAUUAGAUACCCCCGUAGUCCCUGAGCGGGCUGGCAAGGCGCAU
Molecule: ribosomal RNA, 473 nt
Filed under: uncultured bacterium
Lineage: Bacteria
Description: bacterial SSU rRNA
Rfam family: Bacterial small subunit ribosomal RNA
Source: RNAcentral